AGCAUUGCAGAGGUACAGUAUCAUAGCCAAUGAGGCUAACCCAAGGCACAAUUAUUGCUAAUUGAAAAGAUAAUGAAUAACUUUCUGUUUAGAGUUUUAAACAGAAACUUAUAAAAAAAUCUGUAG
Molecule: small nuclear RNA, 126 nt
Organism: Anolis carolinensis (green anole)
Lineage: Eukaryota; Metazoa; Chordata; Lepidosauria; Squamata; Anolidae
Rfam family: U4 spliceosomal RNA
About the family: U4 small nuclear RNA (U4 snRNA) is a component of the major U2-dependent spliceosome.
Source: Rfam